Potamilus streckersoni is the source of this 73-nucleotide non-coding RNA. Lineage: Eukaryota; Metazoa; Mollusca; Bivalvia; Unionida; Unionidae. The record is from the annotation of a GenBank genome assembly.
GCUCCGGUGGCCUAGUGGUUAGGUCGUCCGCCUCGUAUGCGGUAGGUCGUGGGUUCUAUCCCCGGCUGAGUCA